UACAGAGGUGGCAAGCGUUGUUCGGAAUUACUGGGCGUAAAGGGCGCGUAGGCGGCCUUCUAAGUCAGACGUGAAAUCCCCAGGCUUGACUUGGGAACUGCGUCUGAUACUGGGAGGCUUGAGUGCGGGAGAGGGAUGUGGAAUUCCAGGUGUAGCGGUGAAAUGCGUAGAUAUCUGGAGGAACACCGGUGGCGAAGGCGGCAUCCUGGACCGACACUGACGCUGAGGCGCGAAAGCUAGGGGAGCAAACGGG
Molecule: ribosomal RNA, 253 nt
Filed under: uncultured bacterium
Lineage: Bacteria
Description: partial 16S ribosomal RNA
Rfam family: Bacterial small subunit ribosomal RNA
Source: RNAcentral